RNAcentral lists this ribosomal RNA (1403 nucleotides) under metagenome. RNAcentral describes it as "bacterial LSU rRNA". It matches the Rfam family "Bacterial large subunit ribosomal RNA", at positions 1537 to 2917 of the family's 2925-position model. The record is from RNAcentral.
AAAAUCCGUCCCGCAUGGGUCCGAGGUGCGAUGAUGGGGGCCUUAUGGCCCGAUAUCCGGUGAUCCCGGCUGCCGAGAAAAGCUUCGGCGUCAGGCUCAAAGCCGCCCGUACCCCAAACCGACACUGGUGGUCAGGUAGAGAAUACCAAAGCGAUCGAGCGAAUCCUGGUCAAGGAACUCGGCAAAUCACUCCCGUUCCUUCGGUUUAAGGGAGACCCCCGAUGGUGAACACACUUGCUGUGGGAGUUUUUGGGGGUGGCACAGACCAGGGGGUAGCGACUGUUUACCAAAAACACAGGUGCAUGCGAAGGCGCAAGCCGCUGUAUAUGCACUGACGCCUGCCCGGUGCCGGAAGGUUAAGAGGAUCCGUCAGCCUUCGGGUGAAGCGGUGAAUUCAAGCCCCGGUAAACGGCGGAGGUAACAAUAACCAUCCUAAGGUAGCGAAAUUCCUUGUCGGGUAAGUUCCGACCUGCACGAAUGGCGUAACGACUUCCCCACUGUCUCGACCAGGAGCUCGGCGAAAUUGCAGUACGAGUAAAGAUGCUCGUUAAGCGCAGAAGGACGAAAAGACCCCGGGACCUUUACUAUACCUUGGUAUUGGCAUUCGGUGUGGAUUGUGUAGCAUAGGCGGGAGGCCGAGAGGCGCGGUCGCCAGAUCGCGCGGAGCCGUAAGGUGAAAUACCGCUCUGUUCGCAUUGGAUGUCUAACCUCGAACAGUCAUCCUGUUCAGGGACAGUGCCUGGCGGGUAGUUUAACUGGGGCGGUUGCCUCCCAAAGAGUAACGGAGGCGCCCAAAGGUCCGCUCAGCCCGGUUGGCAAUCGGGUGGCGAGUGCAAGUGCACAAGCGGGCUUGACUGCGAGGACGACGGUCCGAGCAGGGACGAAAGUCGGGACUAGUGAUCCGGUGCCGGUGUACGGACGCGGCAUCGCUCAACGGAUAAAAGGUACCCCGGGGAUAACAGGCUGAUCAUUCCCAAGAGUCCAUAUCGACGGGAUGGUUUGGCACCUCGAUGUCGGCUCGUCGCAUCCUGGGGCUGGAGCAGGUCCCAAGGGUUCGGCUGUUCGCCGAUUAAAGCGGCACGCGAGCUGGGUUCAGAACGUCGUGAGACAGUUUGGUCUCUAUCCUCUGCGCUCGUUGGAAUGCUGAGGAGGCCUGCCCAUAGUACGAGAGGACCUGGGUGGACGAACCUCUGGUAUGCCGGUUGUCACGCCAGUGGCACGGCCGGUUGGCUACGUUCGGAAGGGAUAACCGCUGAAAGCAUCUAAGCGGGAAGCCUGCUCCAAGAUAAGCAUUCCGUGGAACCUUCGAGUCCCUGUAGUCCCCAUGCAGAACACGUGGUCGAUAGGCCGGACGUGGAAGCCCCGCGAGGGGUGGAGCCGACCGGUACUAACGGACGAAAGGC